RNAcentral lists this long non-coding RNA (2328 nucleotides) under Triticum aestivum (bread wheat). RNAcentral describes it as "long non-coding RNA (TAES_LNC006339)". The record is from RNAcentral. Lineage: Eukaryota; Viridiplantae; Streptophyta; Magnoliopsida; Poales; Poaceae.
GGAAGACCCAUAGCACGGACGUGCCCGAGAGGACGCAGCCUGACGGCCGCAGGUGCCAGGUCUUCUUCCUCGACCCCGACGGAGAGGGAUUCAUUCUCGGGUGAUGCUUAAUGUUCGUUGGAUUCCUAUUUUCUAAACAGUAUUUACAGUUAUAAUUGUAAAUUGAACUUGCUAUCUCGGUGAUUUCUCUAUUCUUGGUCUAUACGUCCCAGGAUCUAGCAGUGGCAUGUUGAUUAGUAGUUGUGGUAUUGUAUAUUGCUACUCGCUGAUGGCAAGUUUGGUGGAUCGAUGCUAGGCUCCUUUCCAAUCAGCUGAAGCCAUGGAUUUUUUCUCUAUGUUUUGGUUUCGUACUGAUUAUAGUGUUGUCCUACUCGGCUUUCCUGCUUUCAUUUGGCACUGUAUCCGAUACCUUCUCAGCUUGCCCAGUCCAGGGGUUACUCUAAACUUGAUCUAGUAUUAGACUGAAACACUUUUUGAGUUCUUUAGAUGUUUCUUUCUUUCUCUGUAGCAAAAGAUCGGAGUGGGGAGCACUUUUUUCUUCAAAACAAUAUUUUGAUAAUAUAUCUGAAAACACAUGGACAGAAAUAUUAAUCACUGCACAAGCUUGAUAUGCUUAUACUAGAUUUUCGAGCAGUUCUGUAAAUUGAGAUUUCAUCCUCUUCUCGGAUAUUGUACACGGGAACAAACUAAUCUCAUCUACCCAUUAAAUUACCUGCAUGUGAAGUGGUUGUAUGCAUAGGACUGAAAUUCGUUAGACUUGCAAUAGGUGCCACUUCACUGAUUUCUGAGAGUUCACUAUCUAUUUGUCCAAUAAUGUCAUUGAAACUAAAAUCAUGAUAGUUUUGGUUUAGUGAAACAAUUGUAUUAGCUUUUUGGUCGUACUCAUUCGGCUUUUAUGACACUACGUUUGUAAAAAGAACAGUUGCAACUUUUUACCUUUUGUAUGUAGAAAAGAAGACUCUCUUUCUGUGUAUCUUUUUAAUUUGCAACAUUAACAUUGCAAUCUUGGAAUUGGGGCUGAUUUUCUCAAUUUCUGUUGUGCGUAUGCUGGAUAGAUUGAAGCUCGUCGACUAGUAGUACUAAGUUUGUUCUCCGCUAUUUUGUUGCUGCAUCUUGAACUGAAAUGAAGGGAAGUAGUGAGACAUCGCCUUCAGGAGAGCCCAUAAUUGCAAAAUUUGUACCAACACUAUCAGGUGAGAAGACGCAAUCCAAAAAAGCAAGAAUAUGUUGUCAUUACCUAAUUUUCCGUUAAUCCCUUCUUUGAUGUUUUUUGCUUAAUAUUUGUUUGCAGCCGUGGAAUCUGUCAAUAGUGUUCAAAAUCAAGAUUUCAGCGAUGCUACCUCUUUUGCAGAGAUUAAUUCUCCAAUGGUUCUCAUUGAUGAUGCGAGUACACCGAAAAAGAAACAAGCUUGCUCUCAAUAUUGUUCUUCUCAAACCCAUGACUUCUUUUGAGUGAUUAAAUUGUCCAAGUGGCUUCUCUGUCCAUGACUUCUUUUGAGGGAUUAAUUUUUCUCUAAUUUUCCUUCCAUGUCGUAUGUGCAGCAAGCAAUCAAAUUGUAUUGUUUAUACUCAUAUUACCACAAAAUCAUCAUUUCUUUCUUAACAUUAAGGAAAUGUUAAGUCACAAGAUAUAAUUAGCAGGAAAUAACCAUUGGAGGGAGUAAAUGGCUUACUGUUUUGACCUACUUGCGCUUGAUUUGGGAUAGACGACCUUCGGUUGCUAACCAGCCAUUGAGCCAUAAAACUUAUAAUGUAAUAUCAAUACAUCAGUACAGCCGGUCGUAAGCUGUUUGCGUUACGCAAGUCUUCUUGGGAUGAUGAGCUAUGUAAAUUGAUAUAAAUGUUCAAUUAUUGUCAAGCUGUGAAUAUAUUUUGCUGUAUGAUAUUGUUUUCAUUUUCUCUUCACUGGUCUGACAUGUGCCUUUGUGCUGCAGCAUGAAGUUUUUUGCUGAGUGGUGUCUCUCCCAGAAUGGCUUACUGUUUUGACCUACUUGCUCAUCAAUUAUUGUCAAGCUGUGAAUCAUGUUUGCUGAGUGGUGUCUCUCCCAGAACAAGAAGCUUGAUGAGCAAGAAGUAGUAGAACUGGAGGGAAAUGCUAGAGCUUAUCAUUUUAAAUAGCAAUGCAUGUUGAGUGAUGAUCAUAUUAGUCCUUAAUACUUUGUCUUGCUGGCCAUGUACUAAAAAUAGUGCUACCAUGUCUCAUCAAGAUAUGUAUGCUUGUGAUAUGCUCAAUCUGGGAUUGUCCAGUCUGAUGUUUAGUUAUGCUUCAAAGGGUGGCUUAAUUUGAUCUAUGUACUCACAUAUUUGUGAUAGAUAUUGACAUACUUU